This 901-nucleotide ribosomal RNA is filed under the name uncultured archaeon. RNAcentral's name for it is "bacterial SSU rRNA". It matches the Rfam family "Archaeal small subunit ribosomal RNA", at positions 5 to 879 of the family's 1478-position model. The record is from RNAcentral.
CGGUUGAUCCUGCCGGACCCGACUGCUAUUUGGGUGAGGAUUAGCCAUGCGAGUCGAAUGGGAAACCUAAAUUUCCCAUGGCAAACUGCUCAGUAACACAUGAUCAACUUGCCCUAUAGAGAAAAAUAACCUCGGGAAACUGAGGAUAAUUUUUCAUAGCUGAAAAGGCUUGGAAAAGUUUUUCAGUAAAAGGGAUAAAAAAAAUGGUUUUUAUCUGCUAUAGGAUAGGAUCGUGUUCGAUUAUGGUUGUUGGUGAGGUAAUGGCUCACCAAGCCGAUAAUCGAUAGGGGCCGUGAGAGCGGAGCCCCGAGAUGGGUACUGAGACAACGACCCAGGCCUUACGAGGCGCAGCAGGCGCGAAACCUCCGCAAUACACGAAAGUGUGACGGGGGUUACCCAAAGUGUUCAAUUUUGAACUGUGGUAGGUGAGUAAAUGUUCCCUACUAGAAAGGAGAGGGCAAAGGCUGGUGCCAGCCGCCGCCGGUAAAAACCAGCUCUUCAAGUGGUCGGGGAUAUUUAUUUGGGCUUAAAGUGUCCGUAGCCGGGUUUAGUUAAGUUCCUGGUAAAAAUCGGGGUAGCUUAACUAUCCGUAUGCUAGGAAUACUACAAUAUACUAAAGGGCGGGAGAGGUCUGAGGUACUACAGGGGUAGGGGGUGAAAUCUUUAUAAUCCUUGUAGGACCACCAGUUGCGAAGGCGUCAGACUGGAACGCGCCUGACGGUGAGGGACGAAAGCCAGGGGAGCGAACCGGAUUAGAUACCCGGGUAGUCCUGGCCGUAACGAUGCAUACUAGGUGAUGGCACGGCCAUGAGCCGUGUCAGUGCCGUAGGGAAACCGUUAAGUGUGCCGCCUGGGAAGUACGGUCGCAAGGCUAAACUUAAAGGAAUUGGCGGGGGAGCAC